CUUCUUAAGAAACUUAAUUUAAUACAAAACCAACCUCUCCCCCUCCUCCCCCUUUACGCCUCUUGAUCUAAGCCCUAACCCUAGUUUUGCUCCUCGGUUCUUUUCCUUAAUGGCUUCUCCCAGUUAACUUCUUCGUCACCGGUGGUCCUCUUCACAAAUCCAAGCUCAAUCCCAAACUGCGGCACGGCGCUCCUUUUUCUCUGCUUCUUGUGCUUGCUUUCGGCAAAAUUAAGCUCCAAUUCAGACAAUGGAUCCAAAGAGAUUACCAUCGAUACUAGUAUAAUCCCUUACCAGUGUUUUUUAAUUGAAGCACCAUCCACUAUCUUUUUUCUGACAAUAAUGUGCUAAUAUGUAUACCAUGCUAUCUAAGUUUUAUCAUGUAGUAUUAGUGGAUCUUAUUGUUUUUGAGACAUAUCUGUAUUUGAUGAAGCAAAAUUAGUUAUUCGAUCACUUAGCCGCUGAAGCAAAAUUAGGUGGGCCGAUGCAUUAUCGGUGGAUGUACCCUAUCAAGAGGUGAUUGCGGAAUUAGCAAAGAGUGGUGAGAUUCAAGCUACUGUCCCGUUGCAUCCAUUACUUGAGAGAUUAUGGCUAAGCUGAAAAGAUUGAGAAAGAUAGUUGAAGACAAUAAUUCCCAAACUAGUGAAGAUGAUGCUACACAUUUCUCAAGAUUAAAUUCUUUGCAAGCUGCCUCAAAGCCUACUUCAUCACACAUGGAAUCCUCACAAUCUGAAUUUUCACAAACUCAACCUCAAGUUCAAGAAUCAGCUGAAACGGAGUAUAUAAAUGCAGUGGAGAUAAUUGGUAACUC
Ananas comosus (pineapple) is the source of this 808-nucleotide long non-coding RNA. RefSeq lists it as uncharacterized. Lineage: Eukaryota; Viridiplantae; Streptophyta; Magnoliopsida; Poales; Bromeliaceae. The record is from RefSeq and is a predicted model, not a curated record. The transcript has 3 exons.